CCCUUAGAUGUUCUCGGCUGCACACGUGCUACACUGGCAGGUUCAGCGAGCUUCAUGCCCUGAUCUGAAAGGAAUGGGAAAUCUUUUCAAAACCUGCCGUGCUUGGGAUAGAUGUUUGCAAUUAUUCAUCUUCAACGAGGAUUGCCUUGUAAGCGCACGUCAUCAGCGUGCAUUGAAUACGACCCUGUAUUCUGUACACACCGCCCGUCGCUCCUACCGAUUGAAGUUUUCGGUGAGUUGACAGGAGGAUUUUUUUGAAACUGGUUCGCCAGUGGAUUUUAGAUCCAAAUGCCAACGAAUCGAUGGCUUUAGAGGAAGGAGAAGUCGUAACA
This 332-nucleotide ribosomal RNA is filed under the name uncultured eukaryote. RNAcentral describes it as "partial 18S ribosomal RNA". It matches the Rfam family "Eukaryotic small subunit ribosomal RNA", at positions 1470 to 1796 of the family's 1831-position model. The record is from RNAcentral.